GACGAACGCUGGCGGCGUGCUUAACACAUGCAAGUCGAACGGAAAGGCCCUGCUUUUGUGGGGUGCUCGAGUGGCGAACGGGUGAGUAACACGUGAGUAACCUGCCCUUGUCUUUGGGAUAACUUCAGGAAACUGGGGCUAAUACCGGAUAGGAGCUCCUGCUGCAUGGUGGGGGUUGGAAAGUUUCGGCGGUUGGGGAUGGACUCGCGGCUUAUCAGCUUGUUGGUGGGGUAGUGGCUUACCAAGGCUUUGACGGGUAGCCGGCCUGAGAGGGUGACCGGCCACAUUGGGACUGAGAUACGGCCCAGACUCCUACGGGAGGCAGCAGUGGGAAAUAUGGCACAAUGGGCGGAAGCCUGAUGCAGCAACGCCGCGUGCGGGAUGACGGCCUUCGGGUUGUAAACCGCUUUCGCCUGUGACGAAGCGUGAGUGACGGUAAUGGGUAAAGAAGCACCGGCUAACUACGUG
RNAcentral lists this ribosomal RNA (468 nucleotides) under uncultured bacterium. Its description in RNAcentral is "partial 16S ribosomal RNA". It matches the Rfam family "Bacterial small subunit ribosomal RNA", at positions 28 to 507 of the family's 1533-position model. The record is from RNAcentral.